GGACUACCCGGGUUUCUAAUCCUGUUUGAUCCCCUUGCUUUCGCGCCUCAGCGUCAGGAAUAAGCUAGAAAACCGCCUUCGCCACCGGUGUUCUUCCACAUAUCUACGCAUUUCACCGCUACUUGUGGAAUUCCGUUUUCUCCGCCUACCCUCUAGAGAUACAGUUUCAAAUGCAGUUCUGAGGUUGAGCCCCAGGAUUUCACAUCUGACUAUUAUCCCCGCCUACGCGCCCUUUACGCCCAAUAAAUCCGAUUAAUGCUUGCACCCUCCGUAUUACCGCGGCUGCUGGCAC
Molecule: ribosomal RNA, 292 nt
Filed under: uncultured bacterium
Lineage: Bacteria
Description: partial 16S ribosomal RNA
Source: RNAcentral